This 71-nucleotide transfer RNA is filed under the name Streptococcus pneumoniae. RNAcentral describes it as "tRNA-???(tt)". It matches the Rfam family "tRNA". Rfam says of the family: Transfer RNA (tRNA) molecules are approximately 80 nucleotides in length. Lineage: Bacteria; Bacillati; Bacillota; Bacilli; Lactobacillales; Streptococcaceae. The record is from RNAcentral.
GGUCCGUUGGUCAAGGGGUUAAGACACCGCCUUUUCCGGCGGUAACACGGGUUCGAAUCCCGUACGGACUA